AGAGUUUGAUCCUGGCUCAGGAUGAACGCUAGCGGCAGGCCUAAUACAUGCAAGUCGAACGGGUGUAGCAAUACAUCAGUGGCGCACGGGUGCGUAACGCGUAUACAACCUACCUCUUACUGGGGGAUAGCCCAGAGAAAUUUGGAUUAAUACCCCAUAGUACUAUUGGAUCGCAUGGUUUGAUAGUUAAAGUUUUUCGGUAAGAGAUGGGUAUGCGUCUGAUUAGCUAGUUGGCGGUGUAACGGACCACCAAGGCGAUGAUCAGUAGGGGUUCUGAGAGGAAGAUCCCCCACACUGGCACUGAGAUACGGGCCAGACUCCUACGGGAGGCAGCAGUAGGGAAUAUUGGGCAAUGGUCGGAAGACUGACCCAGCCAUGCCGCGUGCAGGAAGAAGGUUCUCAGAACUGUAAACUGCUUUAGAGAGGGAAGAAAAAGCGCUUGCGAGCGAAAUUGACGGUACCUCUAGAAUAAGCACCGGCUAACUCCGUGCCAGCAGCCGCGGUAAUACGGGGGGUGCAAGCGUUGUCCGGAUUUAUUGAGUUUAAAGGGUGCGUANGCGGUCUAUUAAGUCGGUGUUAAAAUACAGCAG
This 590-nucleotide ribosomal RNA is filed under the name uncultured freshwater bacterium. RNAcentral's name for it is "bacterial SSU rRNA". It matches the Rfam family "Bacterial small subunit ribosomal RNA", at positions 8 to 607 of the family's 1533-position model. The record is from RNAcentral.